RNAcentral lists this ribosomal RNA (1308 nucleotides) under Triticum aestivum (bread wheat). Its description in RNAcentral is "partial small subunit ribosomal RNA". Lineage: Eukaryota; Viridiplantae; Streptophyta; Magnoliopsida; Poales; Poaceae. The record is from RNAcentral.
AUGCCGGACUGGAGAGGCGACACCCAGCUCGGGGACCUUCCCAAGGAGUUGAUUGACAGCAUACUCGUCCUGUUGUCGUCCAAGGACGUCGACCGCUGCCGGGCCGUCAGCAAGUCGUGGCGCAGUAUCACCUCCAGGUCUGAAUUCAUGCUUGAACACCAUCGCCGCCAUCCGUCGCUCCCCAUCAUCAAUGGGCAGGGAUGGCCUUCGAGUUUCGUCCUCUUCCGCCAGGCCGGCACCAGUUCCUCCAAUCAAAAGCUCUGGCCAUUCAACCCAGGCACCAGAUUCCAUUUAGAUAGUUGCCUCCAGGGGACUUGUGAUGGCUUGAUCAUCGUCAACUGGGGAUCCCGGUUAUACGUCUGCAACCCGGUCAUCCGCAAACAUAUUCUCCUACCACAGCCUCAAGCUGGGCAAGCCUACAACCGAUUAAGCGGUUUCUACCGGCACCAUCUAACCGGAGAACACAGGGUUCUCUUGGUCUCAACUCCAUGUCAGGGUAAAUCCAACUUAUAUGUCAUCACGGUUGGCUCUAUGGAGCCGAGACAUGUCACAGUGAAAAUGCUAGUCGUCCUGUCAUCUUAUGUGGAACAUAGGUUCCUGGUUAGGCUGCUCCCUGGGUCCUAUUAUCCACCACCAGUCCAGCACCGUGGUAGCCUACACUGGUGCCCUCCUUGUGGUGCUGGUGAUAUUCCCAGAGGCAUUGGAGACAUUAUUGUGUUUGACACAGAAGCCGAGUCAUUCCGAUGGAUGCACGCUCCUGCCCAGCCAUACUCUGAUAAGAAGUUGUUUGAGAUGAAGGAGGAACUUGCUUUCUGGGGCGGCAGAUACUCCAGCUCGAAUAUCGGUUUAACCGUCAUCGAUGUCUGGGUGAUGCAGGAUUACAAGGUCGGAAUAUGGGGUUUCCAGUACCGGAUGGACCUCUCAACGUUGGAGGCAUCACGACAACUAUAUCUAUCUUCUUACAAAAAGAAAAAGAAAACACCACUUCGUCAAGCACUACAAUGGUUCAACGAUGUGGUUCUGCUCAACGAGCGUGAGCUGCUAAUAAGGUUUAAUUCAGAACAUGUGCUGCGUUGCGACACUGAUGGUAAGUUUUUAGGUAUGGUGAACAUUGGGAAGAGUCAAUAUGGCAUGAUGCUCACCCAGUACUACCUCAGUGAGAGCAUUAUUCCAAUUCCCUCCAAUGAUAUGCAAGAAGAUGACGAAGUGCCUCCAUUCAUAGGGCAUAUCGAAAUGUUUGCGACUUCUGGUUUGUUUUAUCCUUGGAAUUUGGACAUGCCAUUUUGGAUGGUUGAGGACUUGCAAUAG